GCCCGGGUGGCGAAAUGGGUAGACGCAGCGGACUUAAAAUCCGCCGGUUAUUGCAACCGUGCCGGUUCGAGUCCGGCUCCGGGCACCA
RNAcentral lists this transfer RNA (88 nucleotides) under Gammaproteobacteria bacterium. Its description in RNAcentral is "tRNA-Leu". It matches the Rfam family "tRNA". Rfam says of the family: Transfer RNA (tRNA) molecules are approximately 80 nucleotides in length. Their secondary structure includes four short double-helical elements and three loops (D, anti-codon, and T loops). RNAcentral also lists the same sequence under 1 other name. The record is from RNAcentral. Lineage: Bacteria; Pseudomonadati; Pseudomonadota; Gammaproteobacteria.